GAGACGGAGAGGGAGCGAGAUGGAGAGGGAGAGAGACGGAGAGGGAGAGAGAUGGAGAGGGAGAGAGACGGAGAGGGAGAGAGUGGGAGAGAGAGAGAGAGGGAGAAAGACGAAUGGAAUGCUUUUGGAAACAAAAUGUUGUUUAGUGUGUAAAGAGGAAGGAACGAAGUAGGAUGAGGUCCUUACGAAAAAGCUGACAUUAAUUGAAAAUAAUUGUAGAACCGCGGACAACAAAAGAGCUUUCGGUGUCUUCGACGAAGUACGAAUUUCAUGGAUUCGAGGACGUCAUACAUAUCUCGUUAACAUUCUCCAACGACUAGAUCGAGUAGCGUGAAUUCUGAGUGAAGUACAUCGAACGAGAAUCCUUCCGCCAUCGUACUCACUUUUCUUGAUUCUACGUGGUAACUUCCGCUACGCAAAUGACAAGGACGAGGAGGAUGAGGAAGAGGACGAUGGUACUCUUUUGCGAAGGAUUCAUAUUUUCCAAUUCCAUUUCGUUCUCCAUCUCGAAUUUCUAGGAAUUUUCAGAAAAUUUUUUUUUAUAUUUGGUAUGAUCUGGUAUAUAUGAUGUACAUAGAAAAUAUAUAUACACCUCUAUAUACCUAUAUACAUAUAUAUAGGAUGUCCCGUUUAUAGCGAAAAAUUGGAACAUCUCGUGAGGGAUUGAAGCAACAAAAAAAAUUUUGCUAGAGAUUUAUUUCAUAUCAAGAGACAAGUUUAACGCAACAAUUACAUUUUCUAACUCCAAUGUUCAAUGGCACCUACCAACCGGAAUUCUACAACGUGUUUAAACAAUAAUUAUAAUAAAAUGUUAUAAAUAGUUUUACCAAUUACAAGUAAUUAAAGAGCACAGCUAGCACUGCUAGUUAUCAAUUAUACCGAUGCAUGUAAUAAAUAAAAGACGAAUUAUGACGAAAAAAAAUUUCUUCUAAUUCAGACAGAAAUUUGAAAACAACAACUGAAGAAAAGCAAUUCGUCUUUUGUUUAAAGGUAUUAAUUAUAUAUUAGCGCACAUUAUAAAAUAACA
Vespula vulgaris is the source of this 1027-nucleotide long non-coding RNA. RefSeq lists it as uncharacterized. The transcript has 3 exons. Lineage: Eukaryota; Metazoa; Arthropoda; Insecta; Hymenoptera; Vespidae. The record is from RefSeq and is a predicted model, not a curated record.